RNAcentral lists this ribosomal RNA (1384 nucleotides) under uncultured bacterium. RNAcentral's name for it is "partial 16S ribosomal RNA". It matches the Rfam family "Bacterial small subunit ribosomal RNA", at positions 30 to 1398 of the family's 1533-position model. The record is from RNAcentral.
GNGACGCUGGCGGCGUGCCUGAGAUAUGCAAGUCGAGCGAUCCCGAUUCCGCAAGGAAUCGCGGAAGCGGCGGACGGCUGAGUAAUACGCAGGAAUCUCCCCCUAGGUAGAGAACAGCUCACCGAAAGGUGUGGUAAUACUCUAUGGUAUCCCGCUUAUGCGGGAUUAAAGGACGUAACUGUCCGCCAAGGGAUGAGCCUGCGGCCUAUCAGGUAGUUGGUGAGGUAAAAGCUCACCAAGCCUACGACGGGUAGCUGGUCUUAGAGGAUGGACAGCCAGAGGGGGACUGAGACACGGCCCCCACUCCUACGGGAGGCAGCAAUCAGGAAUAGUCGGCAAUGGACGAAAGUCUGACCGCGCGACGCCGCGUGUAGGAAUAAGCUCUAACGAGCGUAAACUACUGUGGUAGGGGAAGAAGUCCCGAUGUAAGUCGGGGUUGACGGUACCCUACAAGAAAGUGGCCGCUAACUGCGUGCCAGAAGCGUCGGUAAUACGUGGGCCACAAGCGUUAUCCGGUGUCAUUGGGCGUAAAGGGUCGUGUAGGCGUCUUAAUAAGUUUCUGUUUAAAUACUAAGGCCCAACCUUAGGAAAGGCGGAAAUCUAUUGAGAUAGAGUUUUCUCAAGGGGGACUAGAACUUAGGGAGGAGUAGUGAAAUGCGUUGAUCCCUAGGGAAUACCAGUGGCGAAGCNAGUCCCUGGGUAGUCCUAGCCNUAAANGAAUGUUNUAGCUGCAUGGAGUCAGCUUUUAGUUUUCAAAACUUAAAAAAUAAUAAGUACUUUUCAUACGGGUCUUUUUUCUUUUUAUCGCUUAUAACUGAGAUCUGAUUCCGUGUGGCGAAGGUAACCCGUUAAGCAAACCGCCUGGGGAGUACGGCCGCAAGGUUGAAACUCAAAGGAAUUGGCGGGGAGGCACACAACCAGUGGAACAUGUGGUUUAAUUCGAUACGAACCGAAGCACCUCACCAGGACUUGACAUCUUAGCGUUCUAAUCCCGCGUAAUCGGGAUGAUCCGCAAGGAGGCUAGGACAGGUGUUGCAUGGCUGUCGUCAGCUCGUUCCGUGAGGAGUGCCCUUAAGUGGGACAACGAGCGCAACCCCCAUCCUGUGUUAAAUCUGUCACAGGAAACUGCUCCGACGGUACGUCGGGGAGGAAGGAGGGGCAGACGUCAAGUCAGCAUGAUCCUUAUGUCCUGGGCCACACACAUGUUACAAUGAGUAGAAACAAUGGGUUUAGCCAGCCGGUAACGGUGAGCAAAUCCCUUUAAAUCUACUCUCAGUGGGGAUUGGGGUCUGCAACUCGACCCCAUGAACUCGGAAUUGGUAGUAAUCGCGAAUCAGUCAUGUCGCGGUGAAUACGUUCUUGCCUCUUGCACACACCGCCCGUC